This 427-nucleotide ribosomal RNA is filed under the name uncultured bacterium. RNAcentral's name for it is "bacterial SSU rRNA". It matches the Rfam family "Bacterial small subunit ribosomal RNA", at positions 355 to 796 of the family's 1533-position model. The record is from RNAcentral.
UGGGGAAUAUUGCACAAUGGACGGAAGUCUGAUGCAGCAACGCCGCGUGAAGGACGACGGUCUUCGGAUUGUAAACUUCUAUCGAUAGGGAAGAAAGAAAUGACGGUACCAAAGUAAGAAGCACCGGCUAACUACGUGCCAGCAGCCGCGGUAAUACGUAGGGUGCAAGCGUUAUCCGGAAUUACUGGGUGUAAAGGGUGAGUAGGCGGCAAGAUAAGUCAUAUGUGGAAUACCGGCACUUAAUGCAGGAAUUGCAUAAGAAACUAUCUGGCUAGAGUACAGGAGAGGUAAGCGGAAUUCCUAGUGUAGCGGUGAAAUGCGUAGAUAUUAGGAAGAACACCAGUGGCGAAGGCGGCUUACUGGACUGAAACUGACGCUGAGACACGAAAGCGUGGGGAGCAAACAGGAUUAGAUACCCCUGUAGUCC